AAAAUAGGACCCAUUAUCUGAAUUUUCUUUUAAUUUUAAUUUUUUUAAUACGAAAAAUUGUGAAUUUACCAUAUUAUCUUCAUUUAAUUAAUAAUUUCAAUUCUUAAUGUUUGCAUUAACCAAGGACAUUUUCUGGUAUUUUGAAUGUUUCACCGUUCUCUAUCUUUUGCUUUAUAUAUAUAGAUAAAUGCUAAUUUUGCUAUAUAUAAAAAAUAAAAUAAAAACCGGCUUAAUAAGUUUCAACAAUCCAGCCAUGAUGUGUAAUUUGGAAUUACUAAAUCGAUGCACUGUAAUUUAUGUCUGGUAGGUAUUUUGGGUGCUUAGGGUUGAUUCAUAAAUUCAUAAAUUCAUUAAUUUAUUGACAAGAAAGGCGCAACUGGCCACUGUCAGGAAGAAGAAAGGCGCGCUUUUUCGAAACAGGCUCGACGUGACACUUGGGCUAAGGGGAACUACAGCCUACCCAUUUUUACCGUGAGCUUGCUUUUUCUCUUUAGCCGUUCAGAUAAUUUGGAUGGAUGGAUUUGGUUCUCAUAUAACGUUCGCACAUAAGCGUUCUCACUAAAUAACCGCCCAACUAUUAUUUACUUUACCUAGAUUUCGAUAAUACCACUAUGCCUACAACCA
Molecule: long non-coding RNA, 624 nt
Filed under: Prunus persica (peach)
Lineage: Eukaryota; Viridiplantae; Streptophyta; Magnoliopsida; Rosales; Rosaceae
Description: long non-coding RNA (PPER_LNC004447)
Source: RNAcentral